Molecule: transfer RNA, 87 nt
Filed under: Gammaproteobacteria bacterium
Lineage: Bacteria; Pseudomonadati; Pseudomonadota; Gammaproteobacteria
Description: tRNA-Leu
Rfam family: tRNA
About the family: Transfer RNA (tRNA) molecules are approximately 80 nucleotides in length.
Source: RNAcentral
GCCCGGGUGGUGAAACUGGUAGACACAAGGGACUUAAAAUCCCUCGGCUUCGCGGCCGUGCCGGUUCGAUUCCGGCCCCGGGCACCA